Small nuclear RNA from Ochotona princeps (American pika), 73 nucleotides. The record is from Ensembl. NCBI's taxonomy places the organism in Eukaryota, Metazoa, Chordata, Mammalia, Lagomorpha, Ochotonidae.
GUGCUUGCUUUGGCAGCACGUUCACCAAAACUGGAACCGUACAAAGAUGAUUAGCAUGGGCCCUGAACAAGGA